UAAGUGGUAGCUCAGUGGUUAAGACGUUGGACUACUGAUCAGAAGGUCAUGAGUUCAAUCCCUAGCACCACCAAG
Molecule: non-coding RNA, 75 nt
Organism: Pangasius djambal
Lineage: Eukaryota; Metazoa; Chordata; Actinopteri; Siluriformes; Pangasiidae
Source: the annotation of a GenBank genome assembly